CCUAGCCGCCCCGCUCCCCUCCCUCUCCACGGCGCCGCCGCCUCCUCCCCUUCUGCCCUGCUAUCCACCGUGCCGCCUCUUCCUCCUCUUCACUGCCCUCUCCAGCGGCGGCAAAGAACGGCGGCACUCGAUCCGAUCUGCUGAAGAGAAAAGAUGAGAGAGGGAGAGAGACAAGGAAGGAGAGGAGGGAGAAAGAUCUCCCUCAUCGUCCUCGUCGCCAUCUGCCACUCCUCUGCCGUGCCCAGACCGCGGGAAGAAGCCGAGAAGGGAGGCCGGCCGGCGGCGGCCACGCUCGACAAGAUCCUCACAUUAGCCUCAAGGGAGAGGAGGUCUACGUCCCCCGUCCGUGUGAAGGGCGCGAACCAGGGCAGUGGAGGCGCAGGGCGCGAACGAGAGGAGAAGGUUGAGCAUCCCGCCGACGACAUCGUUUCGAGCUCAAGAUGGUCUACAGAUACAUGCAACAAUUGAGGUUUCAUGUGCAAGGAAGCAAAGAAGAUGCGAGACCGUUUUUCUUUUGGAAUAGAAGAAUCAAAGGAUACACCGACCGAGUCAGUCUGAACUUCGAUUAAAUAUGAUAUGCGUGUUUACAAAUCUUUCCUUCAUGAAUAUUUUGAAACCUUCACAUUAUGCUGAUAUGUAUUUUCUGGCAGAGCAGUCUUCAACAUUGACGGUUACCAUUUUUAUUUUUUAUCUCAGCUCGUGAGAUUUCUCUACUGUCCUGACACAAAUUUACUCUAUAUGAUGAAUCCAAGGCUCAGUAUAAGGAUUUCCUGAUUUAUUAUUUGCCGCAUCUGGUGUUUCUCAUCUUAGCAUGAAUUUGAAGUGUCACCUUUUGCAUCCAAGUAAUACUAUUGGUUCACAUUGAUCCUAUCUACCAUGUACCAAAUCACUCACUUUUCUAAAUACUGAUAUGGAAUUAACCUUUGGUUACAACCCUAUUUGGUUUUGAGUUACAAAAUGUCCUUAUUUAAGAUUUUGCUUCUUAACAUGUUGCGUUACCAGCUCAUCCACUGAGGAUUUUGAAAUAUGAUAGUACUCUUCCUCUGUUUUCUUUAUCUUUUAUUUACAAGUUAGUUCUAUUGUGAGGAGAAGCUUUGGAAGUGGUUAAUCAGUUCAGUAAGAUAAUUUGAGGUCGACGAGCAGAUUGAUUGCUCAUAUAUCCACCUUAAGAUGGCCACAACGUAUUUCAGAUUUUAGCACAUUAGCUGCCAUCGUUUUGUGAUUUCAGAAAUAUAUUUCAUGUGCUGGAUGGCCUCACUCUUUUAUUGGGUUGUUUUCAGUUAAAGGUUAGAAGACAUGCCAAAUAAUGGAUACUUCUCAAUCAAAUGAACAAACAUGCUAUCCGCCGAGCUUCAAGACUGAAGGGAUAGAUAACCACAACUUCUAAUGACCUAUACCAGCGAUUGAUUGUAGCAUACUGGAUUCCUAAUGCUGACAGGAAUAGCCGCCAUGGCGAUAUUUACAGGGCCAAUGAUGUGUGCAAGGACGGAAAGAGGCAGUCGAUCAACGCUGAAGACGUCUUCAAGGCGCUCGAUGAGAUCGAGUUCCCAGAGUUUGUAGAUCCCCUGAGGAUUGCACUGUUAGGAGGUUUGGUAGGUUUGAGCAUCUGACUUAUAAUCUAGGUUGAUGGUGUUUGGCAUUAUUGGUUCAAUCCACGUGGAGGUCCUCGCCGUCAUUGCAGCUGCGGGACAAGACGGCAAGGAGUUUGUGCGCCUGCCUUACCUCUGUACAAAAUAAACUGCAGAUACAAAAAAUGAAAAAGCAGAGCACUGUUAUUUCUCCAUACUCUGCAUCCCCAUCUGAGUCACUCUCUCUAGAAGCAGGAAUGAUUAUACUUCAACCGACCAUGCUCAGCCUAGAAUAACACCACAACAUACAGUAGUAGUUAAGCAACAAAACCUAAGCACUUCCCGUCAUUGUUUGCUUUCUCAUGUUUUUGUUUGCUUCAUUGUGUUCCUAUUUACUUGCAUAUAGAAGUGAGCAAAGUCGAAGUGUUUUGGGUGUUACAAAAGAUUGUGAAUAUUUUGCCUUUAUAGCUCUUUUUUUUAUUGACUCAGUUUUUAUGUAAUUUCAAAGCACUUCAGAUGUGUUAGGCUGCAGCAAGAGGCUGGAACAGAUCUUUGUGCUAUGACGAGUGUUUGCUUCAGUCAAUCCAAAAUACCUCUAAAACUACAGUUUCAUUUGUUUGUCCGGUGUACAUGAGAAGCUCCAAUUUUGUCGGCAAUAGCCACUGGAGAAAGUAGUGAUUGGGUUUAUAUGGGAUAGUUAUGUAUGUCCAUUGUGUGAUGGGAAAUACAAUGCAGUAGUUAAUUGUCACAUGGCUUCUCAAUAGUGGCUUCUCAGUAAAAAUGUUAUAUGAUGUAUGAUAGCCAUGAGUAUGAUGAUUUUUUGGAUGGGCGGUAAGCUUCCCAUGUUUGAUGUUUUUUUUACUUUUUAAAAUUGAACGAUGCUGGUGAGAAUAGUACUGUGGUGUACACUUCUAUUUGGUCAUAUAUUUUGUCCUUUUUUGGUUCUCAG
This is a long non-coding RNA of Triticum dicoccoides, 2517 nucleotides long. RefSeq lists it as uncharacterized. The transcript has 5 exons. Lineage: Eukaryota; Viridiplantae; Streptophyta; Magnoliopsida; Poales; Poaceae. The record is from RefSeq and is a predicted model, not a curated record.